Bos taurus (domestic cattle) is the source of this 72-nucleotide non-coding RNA. Lineage: Eukaryota; Metazoa; Chordata; Mammalia; Artiodactyla; Bovidae. The record is from Rfam.
UCCCCGGUGGCUCAGACAUUAAAGCAUCUGCCUAUAAUGCAGGAAACCUGGGUUCAAUCCCUGGGUUGGGAA